This is a long non-coding RNA of Peromyscus eremicus (cactus mouse), 4596 nucleotides long. RefSeq lists it as uncharacterized. The record is from RefSeq and is a predicted model, not a curated record. The transcript is spliced from 3 exons. NCBI's taxonomy places the organism in Eukaryota, Metazoa, Chordata, Mammalia, Rodentia, Cricetidae.
UUUUUUUUGCCUUUUACCAGAAGUCUUUUUAAAUCUGAUUUCUAAAAACCUUUUAUAUCAACAUUUAAGUUUGAAAUAUUUUUUAAGUUUCUAAAGACUUAUUUUUAUGUAUACUAUGUAUUCAAGUGUUUUACCUACACAUAUGACUGUGCUUCAUGUGUAUGUGGUAUAUACAAGCACCCCAAAAGAGGGCAUCAGAUCCCCUGAAACUGAAGGUACAGAUGAUUUGUGAUCCACCAUGUGGGUGCUGGGAACAGAAGCCAGGUCCUUUGGAAGAGCUCUUAACCACUGAGCCCUCUUUCCAGCCCCUUCUUAAACUUUUAAUCCAUUUUUGUGGCUUUUCAUUCUGUGCACACACAGAACUUUUUGACUUCUGCCUUAAAGCUGUUACUUUAUCUCUCCUUCUAACUAGAACUUUGUUGAGUCCAUGCAUGUGAGAAUCCUUUUGCCUCGGCCUCCUGAAUGCUGGUAUCGUCUAUAAGGACAUGCUGUGUCUGGCUUACGUACUUUUUUUGUGUGUUACAACAGGUUUUCAGCCUCGAUACUGCUGACAUCUUGGACCAGAAGUCUGUAUAUUAACAUUAAUCUAAGUAAUCCUUCCUAUACUGAAGGCUGAGGACACGGCUUGUGAUAUGUGAAAACUUCCUCUCUAGAUUGACUCAAACUGCUGCAAAGUGCUGGGUCUUACAGGCAGCUGAAGGAUGUUUCUGAAGAGAACCCUCUGAGCUCAGUCACUCCCAUGGUGAUGCCAUGCAUCCUGUCUACUAAGUGACACCACCUCAUGGAUGACACCCCUACAGAGUCCUUCUCAGGAACAGCUGGUGAUCUGUACUCCUACUGGCUGUCAGCUGGGAAGUCACAUGCACGUGCAGGCCAAGUGGAUGUGCUGAGGCUCUUUCUCUGCUCUGUCCUCCCACGAUGCCUCACCAAGUGACCUUUAGUCUCACUUUAUCUUGGCUUAUAGGUGUGUUUAUGAACUGAGCACAUUUUUCUGGAAACAGGAUAGGUAUAUAUAAAUACACUCUGAGACGCCAUGUGAAGAGAAUGUUAUUUUAGAAGGCUAAGCCUGUUAAAGCUUUCAUAAAGUAUCGUGAACAAAGGGGAGAGCUGCCACAUUAUCACCACUCAGCAUGCUUGGCGGAGUCAUCUUUGACCCAACCUUAAUAUUCUUGGCUUCUCUUGCUUUUCGGGUUUCUCACUGUAAAGUAAGAAAACAAGGCAGCUCAGGCGGUGAGUGGCUCAGCCUGGCCAAGUUCAUGCUUCAACUCUAAGAAAACCCAAAAUGCUGGGAACGGCAUUCUAACCAUCGGUUCCCGGGAGGAGGUUCAGAGCUGGGAGCAGUAGAACGCUGCACGUGACUCCAGGUGAUCCUCUGGGUGAGAUCCAUGCUCCGCCCCAUGUUACCCAACACUGAAGCCUAAGCUCAGUCUUCCGGCUGCUUGUGGGUGUCAGUUUACCUCCUCAGCUGUGACCAAAGUAAAAUGAUCACAUCAACUCCGCCAGGCAGGAGCAGCUAGCUAAUCUCCAGGUCUUUUCGUUGGGGCAGCUCUGGUACCAAGUAGCUUCGUGCUUGUCUUUAUCAGUGGCCCUCAAAUCUCUGCCAUCACAGCUCACAUUUGGCCAGAGCACCUGCCCAGGAUUUCAGAGCCUAUUAGAGCUCAGAAUGCCAAGUAGUUAACCUGAGAGGGGAAGUGGUCAGUAACUGUGUGUGAGUGACUGACCUCUGGGGACGAGAACUCCCCUUCUCACUGUCUAACUCUCUAAUGACCAAGCAGCCAUUAAGAUGUUCAGGCUUCAGGGGUUCAGGAGAAGGAGGUGGGUAAAGUGUGUGCCAUUUGAAGCAUGAGGACAUGAGUUGAGACCCACCAGAACCCACACAGAAGUGCAUAUCUACAAUACCAGUGCUUCUCCAGAGAGAUGGGGUGGACAAGGAGAACCCCGGUAGUUCACAGCUGAGCUAGCCUGGUGUGAUGCAGUGGCAAACAACAAAGAGAGCCUAUUUCCAACAAGGGGGCGAUGAGAUGAGAGCCCCAGCUGAGGGGGUCGGUCCUCUGACCUCCAUACCUGCACCCACACAGGCAUACACGUGUGUGCAUACACACACACAUAAACGAUCAGAAAAAAUGUUCGGUAAAGAGACAUUCCUCGAUCAAAACAAAGCUUUCCUUGUUGCAGAACCUUUUGCCUACUUCCGACUCCUCCCAGUUGCGCCUUCAUGAUACUUACAUGGGUAUGGAACCUUAAACCAUGGGGCUACCAGAAGUACACCCUUCCUGGCGUCUGUGCGUGCAUAGUAGCCAUAGUUGGUGCUGUUGGAAGGGAAGACAUCAGUCACCGUGAAGAUGAAGCAGAGCAGCCAGGACACGAGGAUAGCCAGGAUUAUCUGGAGUGGUCAAGGGCAGAAACUUGGUUAGGUAAUAAAUACAUCCUUUCCUACUGGGUCACCACCGCCCCGAGCCCGCCAUCCUCAAUACUAUGUAGACCAGCUGUUCCAGUGGAAUUGCACCGAGAGGUUUAUGCGGUAAUUCACUUUAUCUUCCCGAAGUCUGCCAGUAAAAGAACAGGCAGCAUGCCUGCAGAGACCAUGUGGGGUCCCACCUCAGAGCCACUGACCAGAGUCCUUCUGUGGCAUUACAAAAUAAUGUGAUCUUGGAACUGGAACCUUAAACGGCAUCUAGACUGAGCAGGAAUGCCUGGGUUGACUACAGAACUUCCUAAUUCCAGGACCCUGACACUUCCUCAGCCUGAGGCCCAAGUGGCUGCCAGGUCAGAAGCCAUUUCUCCUCCUCCCAAGUGGACUGUAUGAAGAAAGCAAUACAGAGACCCAGGAUGCGCCUAACCACCGAACAGGGGUCUAGUCCUCUAUCUCCAGUGGCUUUUCACUUGCCACCUAAGAAAGAAGACAGUGCCAUGAGAAACGGUGGCCUUGCCAUUGGAGCGCACAGCUUUGAGAUCGGUGAGCACCCAAAGGUCCUUUGGGAACCGCUCUCUGCUGCCAGUCUCAUCUAAACAAUGUAGCUUCCCAGCACAGCUCACUUGCAUGAGACUUGGCAUAACUUCAAAAGGCAGGAGCAAGGACAAUUGCCACCUGACCAAACCUGACAACUAUCCCUUCUCCACACAUCACUGUUGCCUGCCUUUGGAAUACUGGGACUGUUCUCAUGUCUCAAACUCUGAUCUAGAAUAAUCACUUAAUUAGCCCUCACAUGAACUGAACAAAACUUAAAGUGUCUGAACAUUCUUCUCUCUUCUCAAGUUAGUGUGACUGUUCCAAGUAUCCCACAAGGCUGCCCCACACAGUGGUAAGAACUGUCCCCACCCCUGGAGUGGGUUCCCUCAGAAUACUUACAGCAUGGCAAUGCCCCAGUGCUUCCCCGCUCUCUCUCCUGCUGCCUGGAAACCAGAGAGGCCAAUGAGGGCCACGGUGGGUGUGAUGGUCAGGGGUCCAAUAUACCUCAGCAGAGCCCCUGGCAGGCCAAGGAGGCCGAUGACCACUUCUAUCAAUGAGGACAUGAUGAUAGCUCCCUGGAUCUGAAAGAAAAAAGGGCAGACUUUGAGAGUGACGUCAAACACUCAGAAUGUCACCUGCAACCACAACUCCCAUCUCUGCAAGGCAACAAGUCAACAUAUCCUACAGCAGCAUGACAGCUGGGACAGCCCCAGGGCCUACAGAAAAGGUUUCUGGGGAGGUAACUGAGGCCUGGUAAACGAUUACGUCAGGCUAGCUGCAGAAAUGGGUCCUGGGGACAAAUCUGCCUGCCUUCUCACUGCAGGGUGAGAUGGACAAAUCUGCCAGUUCUCAGACAAGCACAUCUACAACCCGGCCCUGCAGGCCACUUCAGCAGUCAGCUUUACAAGACCAAGCCCCAGGAAGACAUUCAAAGGACAGAGUUGCUGACAAAUUCUAAAAGAACGUCUUUGUCACAUAGAAUGACAUUUGUACUAAGUCUAAAAAUUUUAUGGUGACAAUAUGAAUAUAUACACAUUCAUCAGCUGGUUUUCUGUACCCGAGGACAGCUCCAAUUAACUCUGCUCAAAUGUACUUUGACCUCCCCAAAAUCACCUUUCUUUCACAAAUAGGUAUGACUACCAACUUGCUUGUGCUGAGAUGUCCAUGUUAGUCAAGCUACCCUGGAUGUGCCCAUCAUGGAGCUUCCAGAGACAAUUAGAUAGUCAAUGGAUGGCUCAUAAUAUGAGGACAUUAUUGAGAGACAGGGCCUUAGCUGAAGGAAGUGGACACUGUAAUGUGUCCCUGGGAACUCUAUCUUGCCCUGGCUCUCUGCAUCCCUUUCUCUCUUCCUAGCUGCCAUGGGCUUCCAUGACCUCUCCACCAAGAUGGACAAAGCCCCUCAUACUGAGCUUUCUCUUUUCAAGCUGUUUUCAACAUCCCAACACAGCAACAAGGCAGCUAACAACGGACAGACACAUAGCAGCCAGACCUCUUCCGCUGACAGCCAAUAAGCCUCACUCACUCACAGUCAUCACACUGGAGGACGUGAACACAAGCCUCACUCACUCAGUCACUCACAGCUAUCACACUGGAGGACGUGAACACAAGCCUCACUCAGUCACUCACAGGCAUCACACUGGAGGACG